AACGAACGCUGGCGGCAGGCCUAACACAUGCAAGUCGAGCGAGCAUUUCGGUGCUAGCGGCGGACGGGUUAGUAACGCGUGGGAACGUGCCCUUUGCUACGGAAUAGUCCUGGGAAACUGGGGGUAAUACCGUAUGUGCCCUUCGGGGGAAAGAUUUUAUCGGCAAAGGAUCGGCCCGCGUUGGAUUAGGUAGUUGGUGGGGUAAUGGCCUACCAAGCCGACGAUCCAUAGCUGGUUUGAGAGGAUGAUCAGCAACACUGGGACUGAGACACGGCCCAGACUCCUACGGGAGGCAGCAGUGGGGAAUCUUAGACAAUGGGCGCAAGCCUGAUCUAGCCAUGCCGCGUGGACGAUGAAGGCCUUAGGGUUGUAAAGUCCUUUCAGCUGGGAAGAUAAUGACGGUACCAGCAGAAGAAGCCCCGGCUAACUCCGUG
Molecule: ribosomal RNA, 434 nt
Filed under: uncultured bacterium
Lineage: Bacteria
Description: bacterial SSU rRNA
Rfam family: Bacterial small subunit ribosomal RNA
Source: RNAcentral